CUUCACCUACGGGGCGCAGCAGUGAGGAAUAUUGGUCAAUGGACGCAAGUCUGAACCAGCCAUGCCGCGUGCAGGAUGACGGCUCUAUGAGUUGUAAACUGCUUUUGUACGAGGGUAAACCCCGAUACGUGUAUCGGGUUGAAAGUAUCGUACGAAUAAGGAUCGGCUAACUCCGUGCCAGCAGCCGCGGUAAUACGGAGGAUCCGAGCGUUAUCCGGAUUUAUUGGGUUUAAAGGGUGCGCAGGCGGAAUGUCAAGUCAGCGGUAAAAUUUCGGGGCUCAACCCCGUACUGCCGUUGAAACUGC
This 305-nucleotide ribosomal RNA is filed under the name uncultured bacterium. RNAcentral describes it as "bacterial SSU rRNA". It matches the Rfam family "Bacterial small subunit ribosomal RNA", at positions 331 to 636 of the family's 1533-position model. The record is from RNAcentral.